GGGCAAAUGAUGAUCUUUACUAUCUUCUCUGAACAUGCACUGUGGAGUAUCAAACGAGCUUUUUAAAUCUGAGCCCA
Non-coding RNA from Nematostella vectensis (starlet sea anemone), 77 nucleotides. The record is from Rfam. Lineage: Eukaryota; Metazoa; Cnidaria; Anthozoa; Actiniaria; Edwardsiidae.